Molecule: ribosomal RNA, 515 nt
Filed under: uncultured bacterium
Lineage: Bacteria
Description: partial 16S ribosomal RNA
Rfam family: Bacterial small subunit ribosomal RNA
Source: RNAcentral
GAUGAACGCUGGCGGCGUGCCUAAUACAUGCAAGUCGAGCGAAUGGAUUAAGAGCUUGCUCUUAUGAAGUUAGCGGCGGACGGGUGAGUAACACGUGGGUAACCUGCCCAUAAGACUGGGAUAACUCCGGGAAACCGGGGCUAAUACCGGAUAACAUUUUGAACCGCAUGGUUCGAAAUUGAAAGGCGGCUUCGGCUGUCACUUAUGGAUGGACCUGCGUCGCAUUAGCUAGUUGGUGAGGUAACGGCUCACCAAGGCAACGAUGCGUAGCCGACCUGAGAGGGUGAUCGGCCACACUGGGACUGAGACACGGCCCAGACUCCUACGGGAGGCAGCAGUAGGGAAUCUUCCGCAAUGGACGAAAGUCUGACGGAGCAACGCCGCGUGAGUGAUGAAGGCUUUCGGGUCGUAAAACUCUGUUGUUAGGGAAGAACAAGUGCUAGUUCAAUAAGCUGACACCUUGACGGUACCUAACCAGAAAGCCACGGCUAACUACGUGCCAGCCGCCGCAGUAA